GAUUGCAAUUAUUUGCCGCUUGCGAUGACGAUUUGCAGGAGAUGUUGCGAUUAUUUGCCGUUUGCAAUCGCGAUUUGUGAUAUAUAUUGAAUAUCGCAGCGGUGGUGGGGACGUCURCUGGGAAUUAAAGCCCAGAGCCUGGUGGGAUCUGUCUCACCUUGCUUCGGGGACCUUGGUCCAAGGGAACGGCUUUAGGCGGCGCAAAACCCAACGGCGGCCUCUUGCAUCCGUCCGUCCCUCCAGGUCAACGGCAUCUUCACGCGCCCGCCGGCCGCCGUCUCCAAAGCCGCCUCGCUGAGCGUCGCGGGGGGCAACCUCACCGUCUCCCACUCCUCCGGCCUCCGGGUGCUCUUCAGCCCCGGCGGCGAGGUGACGGUGACCGUCGGCGCCCAGCUGGCCGGCCGGCUCUGCGCGCCCUGCGGCGACUUCAACGGCGACGCCGGCGACGACCUGGUGCUGCCCGACGGCCGGGCUGCCCGCAGCCUCGCCGAGGUGGUGGACGCCUGGAGAGCCAAGGACUUCGCCGGAUGCGACUGACGCUCAAAACCGAGGAAAUUACGCCCGUAAGUGGCUCUUCCCACCUCCGCGUUCACACCCCGAGCUACGAAUUCGGCCAGAGGAACCCUCCCCAUUAAAUUCCCCCCGCCCCCAAGCUGGGUUUUUCCCAUGCCGAGGCCGGACCAGCGAUGGGACGACCGUUAGAGACGUGCGUAUGGAGAGCAGACGCCCAACACAUCGGCUUGGCCCUAAAACGCCCUUAAAAAAGUCCCGUUUUGGCCCUAAUCCAGAAGUUCGCUUUACCAAAAACAGGGAAAGCAGGCCACCAUCUAGCAGAAACAGCUUGGCGCCAUUUUGCGGGGUCUCUUCUGCUUCGCCCUYCUGCUCAGCCCCUCUGACCCCCAUGAGAAGCAACGAGGAGGCAAAAUAAUGGGACUAAAACAGGCAGAUUUGGUCCUUGCCCUCAAUAUCCAAAGAAAUAGUGAAAUUGGGGCUGGUCCACCACGACUAGGUGGUCAUCCGUGGGACGUCUCAGCCCGAGGGUGGUGGGAUUCAUCUUCAUUGAGACCUCAACGUUGGAGCUAAGCUCUACGGGUGGCCCAUGUAGCUCAUGGAGAUAAGUAGAGGYUUUGGGAGAAGCACACAGGUGAGGAGAUCCGGAGAUGCCCAAAGCCUUCUCCUGGGAAUAGGGCGAUCCCGGAGGACCUCCCUCAGCUAGGAAGCGUGGCGUGCCAGCGUUCAGAUGAGCUUCACCCCGUUUAAUCCAUGCAUCAGAAGCUCGGGAGGAGYUUCACACCUCUGGCCAGAUGUUUUGGACCUCGACAGCUCCGUUGAGUCCACCUCGGACAUCUGC
Molecule: long non-coding RNA, 1351 nt
Filed under: Dromaius novaehollandiae (emu)
Lineage: Eukaryota; Metazoa; Chordata; Aves; Casuariiformes; Dromaiidae
Description: lncRNA (ENSDNVG00000010582.1)
Source: RNAcentral